Aphis gossypii (cotton aphid) is the source of this 4074-nucleotide long non-coding RNA. RefSeq lists it as uncharacterized. The transcript is spliced from 2 exons. The record is from RefSeq and is a predicted model, not a curated record. NCBI's taxonomy places the organism in Eukaryota, Metazoa, Arthropoda, Insecta, Hemiptera, Aphididae.
AAUAAACUAUUAGAGCUUUUAAAUAAAUAGAUCAAUAAAAUAAUUAUAAUAAAAUUAAAAAUGAUUUCGACUGAAUGCAAAAUUUAAAUUCACUUUUAUAAAUCCAAAAAAAGUGAAUAUCGUCAAUAAAACAAAUUAAUAAACAUGUAUAAUUUAACAAAAUUUUAUCUGCUUACGAAACACAUAAGUGAAGAUAGCCAUUUACAGUCUAUAAAAACGGAGGAUGAAAAUAAUUAAAAAGUUUAAUUUUUGUAUUUUAUACAUUAUUCGCAUAUACCUAAUAUACAAUACAAAAUUUAAAUUUCUCGUGCAUGUACAGCUAAUGAUUUUACAAUUGAUGUAUAUUCAAGGUUAUUCAUCUGAGAUGCUCGUUUACCUUUUACAUUUAUUUAUUUUAAUAUUCAAAUUGUUUUUCUUAUAAAUAUCAGAUAUUAUGUCAGUAAUAUAAUAAAAUAUGCUUAUUAUAAUUAUUUUACAUAGUAUUAAUAGUAUUAUGUAUUUUGCAUUACAACUAAAUCUAAUUCGAAGGAUGUUCAUAUUUUUUAUCAUAUUAUUAUUUUCACAAAUUUAAAUUUAAAAAAAAAACACUGUAUAUGAUGAUUGGAUGUUAGGUAUUUACUUCGUAUUUAUUUAAUUUCCAUUUCCUACAACUCGGCACAGGCAGUAAUAUAUGUUAUUAUAAUAUGAAAUGAAUUCGGGAAACAAUUCUGAAUGGGAUUCAAAAUCAAAACAGCUCUUGUUUGUAUAGCUUUAACGUGUUCAACGGUUGUUGGUUACCUUUUUUUUCUUAGACUAUUGGAAAAUAGAUCUCUAAAGUCAAUAUACCACCAAGUAUAAAGGUCCUUAUAGAAACUUUAAAAGCGCCUUAGGCUUAUAAAAAUGUACAUAUAGUAAUUAGAUAAAAUAUGUUUUUAUGACCGUUGUAAAACCAUAUUAAUUAAUAAUUAUUACAUAUUAUCAUACUUCAUUCAAAAUGUUAAUAAUAUAAAAAUUUCAUCUAAAGAUGUUUUAUAGUAGGUAAUUAGUUAUGAUUUAUAUGAUUUAUAUUUUUAAAGUAAGUGAAACAAGAACUUAAGUUGAAGGUAUUAUUAUAGAACAUUCACGUGCUUAUUCUUCGACGUAUAUAAUCACGAAUAAUAUCCAUACAAAAACUUGCUAGUCAUCGCUGAACCUAAUUAUAAUUUUAUUGUUUUUCUCUCUUAAAUAAAGUUAAAUAGAUUUAAUUUCGACUAAUUGUAAUAACUAAAAACAUUGUCAUUGAGUUCAUCCCGUUUAAAUAAAUAAAUAAAAACUAGUAGAGCAUACGUCGUAACAAAAAAGUAAACUUUUCUAUCCAUUUUAAGCGUAAUGAUAUAAUAUAGGUACCAAUGCACCGUCGUCAAUACCUCACUGCGAUUUAUGUAUUGAUGUCACGGAUGAGCAUCGACGUAUUCAUUAAUCACUAAUCAGUAUAUUUUAUUAUUAUAGGUAUUGCUCCAUGGCCUGCAGUUGCUGAAUCUAAGAAAUCACAUCGACAUCGUUUAACCUACCAAAAGCACCUGAGAGUAUGCCGUACAGCAAUAUUAUAAUCGCAUACGAUAAGUCGGCCCUCGAGUACUUUUAAACAAACACUCGUCAGUCGUCGACUCAACAAUCGCACGCUGGUUUAGUUUUAAAUUCAAUUUAGACAAAACGUAUAUGGUUUGAAGCUAAGUGAUUUUAAGAUUUAACAUAAUAAAAACUUGGCCAACGAGUUCCGCCAAGGUUCUCGAGACUUAUUCGAGUACCUCUACCUAACGCAAUUAUUCCUCAUAACGAGAAUGACAUUUUAUUUUUGCUAUCAUUAUGAUCGUAAACUAUAAUAUUCCACGUUUUACUCGAAUGUAAUUAUGACAUUCUGCGGCAUUCGAUAUUAUUUGCCGAAUUUUUAAUAAUUAUACAUACGAGUAAGGUGUCAUCAUCGAUUAUAAUUUAUAAACACUUUAUAGGAACGUCAUUCGUAACGAGCGUAACUAAACUAUCAAAAUCAAAUAUUAAUUAUUUUAUCAUCAUUAUGGACUAUCGCUUUUUUAAUAUAAUCAAACGCUGCAAUAGUCAUUGUAAACACUAACUCUACACAAUAAGUCUAAUGCAAUUCGAAAAACAUAAUAAUACGUAUCUAUAAUACCUAAUGAAAAAAAAUUUAUUCGCACGAGUACAUUAUGCAAUGCACUGUUGCGUCAAAUGGCUACAGAAACUGCGAAUUAUUAUUCUAAAAUAAAUAUAUAUAUAUUUAUAAUGAAUGAUUUCGGUAUCAUCGUGCGAUAUAACAUUGUAAUGCGUAUUUACCAGUUGACUAAACCUAUAUAGGUACUCAAAAUGCGUCUAAUUUGUUAUAAUUAUUAUUGGCAAUUUAAUUAUAUAUUUCGUAUGUAUAUGGUUUAAUCGUACCUGUAUCUAUAAUAACAUGUACGUAUACACAGCGUCUCAUCGAUAGUGUGACCUUUUCGAUCGAAAACGAUUCUAGGCAAUCGGGUUUCCAUAUAAAAAUUACGUGUGUGCGCGCACACACGAUAAACAUAAACUUGUGCACAACUUUGAUAUACGUACCUUGGUACUCGUGAUAAAAUGUAAUUUUUAAUUUUUAUACUCUUAGGAAACCAUGAAAUUUACAAUCGUUUGACUAUCACGGUUUUUUUUUUUUUUUUUAGACGUCUUUUUCAAUAACUCAAGAGUUCUGUGUUUACACUUUACAGUAUACGAGAUGUUAUGUAACUACACGCGUACGGCGAAUAGAAGGUAAACUGUUGUAAGUGACACUUUUUUCAGGAAAAUUGAAAAUCAAUUAUUACUUUCAUAUUAUGGUAUGCUGUUUUCAAAAAUCGUUUUCGAUAUCUAUUAUAAACGAUAACAAACUAUUUAACCUACCUCGUUUAUGUUCGCAAACAAACGAUUUUAAUAAUAUAGUAUAGGUAAAUUGGAUGCAUUUUAAAACAAGUUUAUACUUUCAAUUUUUUGAAAAACUAUAAAAGAGGGACACUCGAUAUAAGAAAAAAUCACCAUGAUCUUGAAAUGGGCGUAUGCAAUUUGCGUUAAUUUUGGUAAUUUGCGUCACUUUUUAAAUUUGUAGUUUGUGCCACAUAAAACUAAAUAAAAUAGCAUUAUGUAAUCUCCGUCAUCUUUUACCGUAAAAAAUUGAAAUUUGCACCACUUUAAAUAACUAAGCAUUUUUUUUUUUACAGAUUAACGUAUUGUAUUUUUAAUACCUACUUUACGUAUAUUGUCUAAUACAAUAUUGUUUUUCAUACUAUUAUAAUUUAUAUUUAUAUUUUAUAUGCCUAAAACAACAAACCUAUAAUACAUAUACAAUACCUAGUGUAUUCGCCUUUUUUAAAUAUAUAAAAACUAUAUAUAUUAACAUUAUAUAUUUGUAACAUUAAGAUGAAACUAAACUUUGUCUAUCAAUUUUUCUUUUGUCUGUAAUCUUCAUACAUUUUUUUUAAGUUAUAUUAAUCUAGAUUAGGCAUGUGUCGGUAAUCGAUAUUAUAGUAUAGCUGAUGCGAUAUUAGUGAAAUAGGACAUAUAAGGACUAUGCAGUUAAACAACUUCCGCAAAAUAGUUUUAUAAGUACUAAAAUAUUUCUAAAAUAAUGUUUUAAAAAUUGUAUUAAUGAUCUUUAUAAGUGAGUACUUUUAUUAUUUAUAGCAAUCUCACAGGAGGGACUCAAAUCGUUUUCAACAAAAAUGAAAAAAAUUUCGCUUCAUCUAAGAGAUAGUAUAAUCACACAUAUCUAUAGACUAUAAGUAUAUAAAAUAUCUACAUACACACUGCGCACUGUAUAUAGAGGGAUUUUUGCCUCUUCUAGUCAGUGAAUGUUUUACAUGGCCGGAAGACCUCGUCCUAGUUCCGGCUUAAUAGACAAAUAAAAAAUGACAAGUAUGUACGAACGUAAUUAAUAAUAAUCAGCCAACAACAAUGAUACGAGAAUAAAACUAACGCGUGUUUAUAUGUACGUUUCGGCAACCAUCGUGACGUACAGACGCACUGUAUAUAUAUACAUGUACGUCAUACUUCAACUCAUAUAUUAUAAUAUAUAUUAUGUACUUUACCGCUGCA